GAGUGAACGCUGGCGGCGUGCUUAACACAUGCAAGUCGAACGGACUUAGGAUGAAACCUAGUGAUUCUAAGUUAGUGGCGGACGGGUGAGUAACGCGUGGGCAACCUGCCUCAUACAGGGGGAUAACACUUAGAAAUAGGUGCUAAUACCGCAUAAGCGCACAGCUUCGCAUGGAGCAGUGUGAAAAACUCCGGUGGUAUGAGAUGGACCCGCGUCUGAUUAGCUAGUUGGUGGGGUAACGGCCUACCAAGGCGACGAUCAGUAGCCGGCCUGAGAGGGUGACCGGCCACAUUGGGACUGAGACACGGCCCAAACUCCUACGGGAGGCAGCAGUGGGGAAUAUUGCACAAUGGGGGAAACCCUGAUGCAGCAACGCCGCGUGAGUGAAGAAGUAUUUCGGUAUGUAAAGCUCUAUCAGCAGGGAAGAACAAAGACGGUACCUGACUAAGAAGCACCGGCUAAAUACGUG
Molecule: ribosomal RNA, 469 nt
Filed under: uncultured bacterium
Lineage: Bacteria
Description: bacterial SSU rRNA
Rfam family: Bacterial small subunit ribosomal RNA
Source: RNAcentral